GACCCCGCACAAGCGGCGGAGCAUGCGGCUUAAUUCGAUGAUACCCGUAGAACCUUACCUGGUCUUGACAUGCCCGUCAUAGUUUUCCGAAAGGAAUUCGUCAGUUCGGCUGGACGGUGCACAGGUGCUGCAUGGCUGUCGUCAGCUCGUGUCGUGAGAUGUUCGGUUAAGUCCGGCAACGAGCGCAACCCUCGUUCCUAGUUGCCAGCGGGUAAUGCCGGGGACUCUAGGAAGACAAACCUCGUGUAGAGGUGGGAAGGUGGGGACGACGUCAAGUCAGUAUGGCCCUUACGACCAGGGCUGCACACGUGCUACAAUGCCCAGCACAAUGGGAUGCAACGCCGCGAGGUUGAGCAAAUCCACAAAACUGGGCCCAGUUCGGAUUGGAGUCUGCAACUCGACUCCAUGAAGUUGGAAUCGCUAGUAAUGG
This 430-nucleotide ribosomal RNA is filed under the name uncultured bacterium. Its description in RNAcentral is "bacterial SSU rRNA". It matches the Rfam family "Bacterial small subunit ribosomal RNA", at positions 920 to 1344 of the family's 1533-position model. The record is from RNAcentral.